CAGUAGCCGCGGUAAUACGAGGGGGGCAAGCGUCGUUCGGAAUUAUUGGGCGUAAAGGGUGCGUAGGCGGCCCCGCAAGUCUCAUGUGAAAUCUUCAGGCUCAACUUGAAGUCUGCAUGGGAAACUGCGGGGCUGGAGUAUGGGAGAGGUGAGUGGAAUUCCUGGUGUAGCGGUGAAAUGCGUAGAUAUCAGGAGGAACACCUGUGGCGAAAGCGGCUCACUGGACCAUAACUGACGCUGAGGCACGAAAGCUAGGGGAGCAAACAGGAUUAGAUACCCGUGUAGUCCCUGUCUCUUAUAC
RNAcentral lists this ribosomal RNA (301 nucleotides) under uncultured bacterium. RNAcentral describes it as "partial 16S ribosomal RNA". It matches the Rfam family "Bacterial small subunit ribosomal RNA", at positions 509 to 807 of the family's 1533-position model. The record is from RNAcentral.